AGUGAACGCUGGCGGCGUGCCUAACACAUGCAAGUCGAACGGGCUAGUGCUUCGCACUAGUCUCUUUCUGGGGUUGUUACUCUAAGGCUACCUGCUAAAGUUAUUGCUUUAAAGCAGGGGUUUUAGGAGACUUUCCCCGAAAGGGGCCAGUGCGGAGCACUGGCCAGUGGCGAACGGGUGAGUAACACGUGGGUAAUCUACCCUCGAGUGGGGAAUAAGCUUCCGAAAGGGGGUCUAAUGCCGCAUAACGUUUCAUAACGAUGGUUAUGAAACCAAAGCCCAAAAGGCGCUCGAGGAGGAGCCUGCGUCCUAUCAGCUUGUUGGCAGGGUAAUGGCCUACCAAGGCUAUGACGGGUAGCCGGCCUGAGAGGGUGUCCGGCCACACUGGAACUGAGACACGGUCCAGACUCCUACGGGAGGCAGCAGUGGGGAAUUUUGCGCAAUGGGGAAACCCUGACGCAGCGACGCCGCGUGGAGGAUGACGGCCUCGGUUGUAACGUACCUGUCAGAAGGACGGAAGUACCGACG
RNAcentral lists this ribosomal RNA (528 nucleotides) under uncultured bacterium. RNAcentral describes it as "bacterial SSU rRNA". It matches the Rfam family "Bacterial small subunit ribosomal RNA", at positions 29 to 458 of the family's 1533-position model. The record is from RNAcentral.